CUCCUCUCAAGGUCCCACCUGGAGAAUUUCCAGUACUCUACCAAUCUUGACUAUGAGAGGGAGAGUCGAGCAGAGGCCUACCCAUUCCAUUCCUAGCUUGGCCAGUGGCUAGCAAGUGGAAGCCAAUUUGCUACAAGU
Molecule: small nucleolar RNA, 138 nt
Filed under: Ornithorhynchus anatinus (platypus)
Lineage: Eukaryota; Metazoa; Chordata; Mammalia; Monotremata; Ornithorhynchidae
Source: RNAcentral